AGGCAUAAAAUAAGGAUGUGCAUCAUGUGGGAGGGAGGAAGGAUGAUUGUCCCUUUGCUGCUUCCAUGGCUGGGUGAGCUCAGAGGGUUAAUUAUCUUACCUCUCCACAGUUUCUCCUGCGGUUGUUGCCUUCAUGGAU
MicroRNA precursor from Equus caballus (horse), 139 nucleotides. NCBI's taxonomy places the organism in Eukaryota, Metazoa, Chordata, Mammalia, Perissodactyla, Equidae. The record is from Ensembl.